This 1310-nucleotide long non-coding RNA is filed under the name Gadus morhua (Atlantic cod). RNAcentral's name for it is "lncRNA (ENSGMOG00000034126.1)". Lineage: Eukaryota; Metazoa; Chordata; Actinopteri; Gadiformes; Gadidae. The record is from RNAcentral.
CAGCAGGCACUGCUGACGGGUCAGCACCAUGCCAGAGGCCGGGGCCGACCGCAGCCUGGAGCCCGGCCAGAGGAUCCCCUCCCAUCCCAACCCCUCAUCCCCCCGUGGAGGAGAUGGACCGGGGCAAAGACUCUGGACUGUGGGGGUCUUCGUCCCCCUCCUCUUCCCUGUCAGACGGUUCCUGAGACCAGGACUGGUGUACUGGCGGUUGUUCGGACCCCUACCACCAUCGUGACGCUCCCAUCUACCCGGCUUCCUCCACCGAAACAGGCAUCAAAACCUACAGCAUCUCUCUCUCUCUCUCUCUCUCUCUCUCUCUCUCUCUCUCUCUCUCUCUCUCUCUCUCUCUCUCUCUCUCUCUCUCACCCUCUCUCUCUCUCUCUCUCUCUCUCUCUCUCUCUCUCUCUCUCUCUCUCUCUCUCUCUCUCUCUCUCUCCCUUUCUCUCACCCUCUCUCUCUCUCUCUCUCUCUCUCUCUCUCUCUCUCUCUCUCUCUCUCUCUCUCUCUCUCUCUCUCUCUCUCUCUCUCUCUCCCUUUCUCUCUCCCUCUCCCUAUCUCUCUCUCUCUCUCUCUCUCUCUCUCUCUCUCUCUCUCUCUCUCUCUCUCUCUCUCUCUCUCUCUCUCUCUCUCUCUCUCUCUCUCACCAUUCCUCUGUGGUCCUUUCCUCCUAUUGCAUCAUUGUGUCACCUUUGAUUUAUCUGGUACAAAGACAGAUAGACAUAGAUAAGAGUGUGUGUGUCUGUGUGUGUGUGUGUGUGUGUGUACUUCAGCUGAAUUUAGCUGGGACAAUGGCCCUUACCAGGGGGGGGGGAAGGCUCGUCCCGACCCACCCAGCUCCAGGAUGAGGCCCUCAAGCACGCCUGGAGCCACGUCCUGGUCCACGACGGGCAGGCCGAGACUCGACGCGAGGGCUCAUCCUGGACAAUGGAUGACCUACGGGCACCCCUAUGACGAGAGGAAGGAGGUGUGGAACCCCAAGUUCUGCAUGAUCACCGACGGCCAGAUCCUGCUGCUGGACAAGGAAGAGGAGAGGCAGUAUGACUCCUGCAAGGUCCGACUCCUGAGACGCACCAUAAGUGUCCCCGUGGAAACACAAUUCCCAGAGUUCCACAGCCAGCUGUCCACAGAAAGCGGUGAGUCAUCAAAGCACCUGCUGCUGCGGCGGACAUGUUUGUUGUUUUUAUUUGCCUACUAUCUGCUGGGAAACGAGGAAUUUAAAGGGAAAGUUGUAUCAGAGUAAAGUGAAAUUGGGAGUGUGUCAAUAAUAUUAUAAUAUAAAGUGAGAGAUGAUUUGAUGCUAUAUCGUUUAC